RNAcentral lists this ribosomal RNA (342 nucleotides) under Triticum aestivum (bread wheat). RNAcentral describes it as "partial small subunit ribosomal RNA". The record is from RNAcentral. Lineage: Eukaryota; Viridiplantae; Streptophyta; Magnoliopsida; Poales; Poaceae.
AUGCUCUCUUCGCUGACAAUUUUUGCCGGCAGUUUCCGCGCCGAAGAGUUCCGUUGGAGUCUACACAUGAAUGGUAAAUUCACGGUAGACUCUAUGUAUAGUGCUCUAAUCUAGUCAGAGGUGCCAGCUGAUAAUAAUAAGAUUUGGAAGAUGGAGAUACCUCUUACGAAUAAAAUCUUUGCGUGGUAUCUUCGUUGUGGAGUCAUUCUUACCAAAGAUAACCUUAUUAAGAGGAAUUGGCAUGGAAGUACGCAAUGUGUAUUUUGUCAUCAUGAUGAAACAAUAAAACACUUAUUUUUUAAUGCAAAUUGGCUCAUUCUAUAUGGUCAGUCAUUCAAAUAG